AAACUAUGACAUUAUUAUAUAUAAUAAAGUAGUUGCACCAGUAAUGUUUAGACUUUCUCUCUCUUCUUCCUGGAUCUUUAGGAGCAAUUAAGCCAAUGAGAAAUCAGACCCACACCCCAAUUCUGAUGUAACAGCCUUGGGAAAGAGGUUGCAGUGAAAAGCUGGUCCUGCUGUGGUGGAGAGAAUGGAGGAAAGAUAAUAAAAGGCCAAACCUUUGCUCCAACUUUCUCCUUAGCUUCCCUUUGGAUCUGGAAAGCUGGGGACCCACACGGCAGAGCCAUGGUACUGGAGGAGCCAUUAACAAAGCUUUCAAUAAACCUCUCUUUCUUGAAGUUACCUGAGAAUGGAUCCAUUCCCUGCAACUGAAGAUUCUAAGGAACUGGGUUUCUCAGUAUACAAUGGGAAUGGUUGGGAGGAGGUAAAGAGUAGAAGACAGUAUCAAGAAUCCAGAGCCCAGCACCUGUAGUCCUAACUAUUCAGAUUCCUUGAGCCCAGGAGUUUGAGUCCAGCCUGGACAACAUAUUGAGACCCCCAUCUCUCUAAAAAAAAAGAGAAAGAAAGAAGGAAAGAAAAAAAGAAAGAAAGAAAGAAAGAAAGAAAGAAAGAAAGAAAGAAAGAAAGAGAAAGAAAGAAGGAAAGAAGGAAAGAAGGAAAGAAAGAAAGAAAGAGAAAGAAAGAAAAGAAGAUUGUAGCUAGGGGGAGAGUAGGUGAAAAGAUGAACAACAUGACCGGGAAGAUUUCCUAAUCUCACCACAGCCUGGCUCUACCUUAAGUCUUUAAUAAAAGCUUGACUGAAGGUACCAAGGUGUGCUGAAGUGGAAGCAAAGUUCUCCAAAGUCCAGCAUGGUAGACAUCAGUGGUGGUAACCAAGGACAGACCCCAAGGCAAGGUGAACCUCAAAAAUGGAACCUCAAGUCUAUGCAGUCCAGCUGCCCUCCCCACCAGAAAGUCCUUGUUCCAGCCCAACAUCAGUGCCUCUGAGUUUGUUUACUAGAAACAAAGGAAGAAUUUCCUUGUAAAAAUAUAGACAGAGUAGUCCCUGGCUUUCUCCUCUUGCAGGAAGGAUGGAUUCUCCCAUUCCAUACCAUCUUUCCCCCACACUGGCCCCAGAAAUACUUAAUUCAACUAUGUGAAAAUAAAGAUUGUUUUUGGUUUGAGGGCAUAGGGAUCCAUUUAUCCUUAUUCUUUAUGAGGCACUAAAUUAGCUUUGUAUGUUAUUAAAUGUGUCUCGUCAAUGCUGUUGGCAUUGUUUCAUUUUAACUUCUAUUUGGUAAUGUUCAAUUUUCUGAAUGUGUGGAUCACUUAGCAUGAGCAGAAAACCCUGCAAAAGUGGUGGAGGUAAGGAAAGGUUGUAAUAAUGGUUACAAAGCAGGAGCAGCAUAAGGCUACCUAGGUGGUACGGUUUGAGUUGUUUUGGGAAAGCCCUUCUUAAUCACCUCUCUCUAGGACACCAC
Long non-coding RNA from Homo sapiens (human), 1454 nucleotides. Ensembl annotates it as long intergenic non-protein coding RNA 1133. NCBI's taxonomy places the organism in Eukaryota, Metazoa, Chordata, Mammalia, Primates, Hominidae. The record is from Ensembl.